RNAcentral lists this transfer RNA (69 nucleotides) under Mochlus brevicaudis. RNAcentral's name for it is "tRNA-Ile". The record is from RNAcentral. Lineage: Eukaryota; Metazoa; Chordata; Lepidosauria; Squamata; Scincidae.
GGAAGUGUGUCCGAAUUAAGAGUUACUUUGAUAGAGUAAAACAAAGAGGUUGAAACCCUCUCACUUCCU